AAAAAGGUAGAGAAGAAGAGGAGUACGCUUAUAACCCUGAAAGAGAAAACCGUUCACCGGCUGAAAGACGGUUAAGGUAGUGUAUGCGGAAGGUAGCUUCUGAACCGGAAGGCUGAAAUUUUGUAAUUCAGUAGGCUUUCACGUGUGGCUGCGUUAUAGGCUAUAUGAGAUAUGGUAGGAUAUACCAUAUGAACAAAGGUGGUACCGCGUUAAUUCGCCCUUUGC
This 225-nucleotide non-coding RNA is filed under the name Lacrimispora celerecrescens. RNAcentral describes it as "Clostridium celerecrescens T-box sequence". It matches the Rfam family "T-box leader". Rfam says of the family: Uncharged tRNA acts as the effector for transcription antitermination of genes in the T-box leader family. T-boxes are found upstream of many aminoacyl-tRNA synthetase genes and some amino acid biosynthetic genes usually in Gram-positive bacteria. The record is from RNAcentral. Lineage: Bacteria; Bacillati; Bacillota; Clostridia; Lachnospirales; Lachnospiraceae.